RNAcentral lists this transfer RNA (102 nucleotides) under Streptomyces sp. AVP053U2. RNAcentral describes it as "tRNA-Arg". The record is from RNAcentral. Lineage: Bacteria; Bacillati; Actinomycetota; Actinomycetes; Kitasatosporales; Streptomycetaceae.
CGACGGCUCGAUGCGGCGGGACCCGGCGAGCGGCGGCUUCCUGGGCCGCAACGGAGUGGAGUUCACCGGCUUCGGCCGGAUCCAGACCGACGCCGACGGCCA